GAUGAACGCUAGCUACAGGCUUAACACAUGCAAGUCGAGGGGAAACGCCAUCGAAAGCUUGCUUUUGAUGGGCGUCGACCGGCGCACGGGUGAGUAACGCGUAUCCAACCUGCCCACCACUUGAGUUCAACCUUCCGAAGCUAAUACCAAUACCUAUUGUUAUCCGUAGAAUUCAUCUGAAAAAGAUUAACUUUUUAUCGCUGAUGGAUGGGGAUGCGUUUGAUUAGCUUGUUGGUGAGGUAACGGCUCACCAAGGCAACGAUCAGUAGGGGUGCUGAGAGGCAGCCCCACUACAUUGGAAAUACGAUCCAGACCAAACUGCUACGGGACGGAGGAGUGAGGAAUAUUAGUCGAUGGAGGCGGGUCUGACCCAGCCAAGUAGCGUGCAGGAAGACGCCCAUAUGGGUAGUAAACUGCUUUGAUAAGGGAAUAAAGUGAGUCUCGGGAGACUUUUUGCAUGUACCUUAUGAAUAAGGACCGGCUAAUUCCGUG
This 492-nucleotide ribosomal RNA is filed under the name uncultured bacterium. RNAcentral describes it as "partial 16S ribosomal RNA". It matches the Rfam family "Bacterial small subunit ribosomal RNA", at positions 28 to 507 of the family's 1533-position model. The record is from RNAcentral.